RNAcentral lists this ribosomal RNA (513 nucleotides) under uncultured bacterium. RNAcentral's name for it is "partial 16S ribosomal RNA". It matches the Rfam family "Bacterial small subunit ribosomal RNA", at positions 28 to 523 of the family's 1533-position model. The record is from RNAcentral.
GAUGAACGCUGGCGGCGUGCCUAAUACAUGCAAGUCGAGCGAACAGACGAGGAGCUUGCUCCUCUGACGUUAGCGGCGGACGGGUGAGUAACACGUGGAUAACCUACCUAUAAGACUGGGAUAACUUCGGGAAACCGGAGCUAAUACCGGAUAAUAUAUUGAACCGCAUGGUUCAAUAGUGAAAGACGGUAUUGCUGUCACUUAUAGAUGGAUCCGCGCCGCAUUAGCUAGUUGGUAAGGUAACGGCUUACCAAGGCAACGAUGCGUAGCCGACCUGAGAGGGUGAUCGGCCACACUGGAACUGAGACACGGUCCAGACUCCUACGGGAGGCAGCAGUAGGGAAUCUUCCGCAAUGGGCGAAAGCCUGACGGAGCAACGCCGCGUGGGUGAUGAAGGUCUUCGGAUCGUAAAACUCUGUUAUUAGGGAAGAACAAAUGUGUAAGUAACUAUGCACGUCUUGACGGUACCUAAUCAGAAAGCCACGGCUAACUACGUGCCAGCCGCCGCGGUAA